UGGGGAAUUUUGGACAAUGGGGGAAACCCUGAUCCAGCCAUCCCGCGUGUGCGAUGAAGGCCUUCGGGUUGUAAAGCACUUUUGGCAGGAAAGAAACGUCAUGGGUUAAUACCCCGUGAAACUGACGGUACCUGCAGAAUAAGCACCGGCUAACUACGUGCCAGCAGCCGCGGUAAUACGUAGGGUGCAAGCGUUAAUCGGAAUUACUGGGCGUAAAGCGUGCGCAGGCGGUUCGGAAAGAAAGAUGUGAAAGACCAGAGCUCAACUUUGGAACUGCAUUUUUAACUACCGGGCUAGAGGGUGUCAGAGGGAGGUGGAAUUCCGCGUGUAGCAGUGAAAUGCGUAGAUAUGCGGAGGAACACCGAUGGAGAAGGCAGCCUACUGGGAUAAAAAUGACGAUCAUGAACGAAAGCGUGGGGGGCAAACAGG
This 429-nucleotide ribosomal RNA is filed under the name Acidobacteriota bacterium. Its description in RNAcentral is "Acidobacteria bacterium partial 16S ribosomal RNA". It matches the Rfam family "Bacterial small subunit ribosomal RNA", at positions 355 to 776 of the family's 1533-position model. Lineage: Bacteria; Pseudomonadati; Acidobacteriota. The record is from RNAcentral.